AAGGUGCCAGUCAUCUCUGAGGUAUAGAAAUAGCUCCAUCUUCCUGGAAUCCAGUGUCUAGUGGAUUAUUCAUUUGGGACCUAAGUACCACUUCUGGAGGCCCCCUCCAACUGAGUAAACUGUCUUUGGAUCAGGCUUGGUUAGGUUCAACUGCAUGUAACUGCAAAUCCAAACGAAUAGAGCUUAAAAUAAGACUAGUGUUUAUUUUUCCAAUUUUAAAAAGAGAACUGGAGAUAGGCAGCUGCACAACAUCAGUGGGAAUUCUGUCUCCUUUCAGUUCACCAGCCAUCUGCUAUCCAUCAGAUGUGGCAAUAUCCUCAUGAUCUAAAGCAAUGGCUAGAGCUCCAGCCAUUCUAGGAUGCAGGAUGGAGGAAAGGAAGAAGAGCAUGUCGCCUUCCUUUCAAGGAAAUAUCCUGUUGAAGAAGCCCGGCGCGGGAGGAAAGCCAGAGACCACGAAGACGCGGGCUUCGGCUUCCUAGAGAGGAAGCACGCGACACUUGGGCGCCGUGGCCGACGUGGUGACGCACUUCCGGUCGUGCCGCAGUGCGCCUUUCCUGAGGUGAGUUUUCAGGGUUCCCGAACCGACUGGGAACACACCUGUCACCGCUGGAAAAGGCAGUCGCCUUCGUCCUUGAUGCCGUGGUGGAAGGAGUCGGGUGGCGCCACCGGGUCCGGGGAGCGAGGGCGGCCUGCUGGCCAGUUCCGCUUGCCCUCGCCCUCGGUGCCUUCAUCCCAACCCGCCGGGGCCGCCCCCGGAAAUGGGGCUGUGGAUGGAAAAAACACGCCGUUUGACUCGACACAGCCGUAACCUCCCCUGCCCCCUGGGCCGAAGACUUCUCACAGAGCAGUUAAAUGCCAGCUGCUGUUCUAGGUUCCCAAGAUGCAGCUGCGAAUGAGACGGCCUUGGGCCCCUCUCUCAGGGAGCUGUCAGUUUAAUGGAAAGUCACCUAUUAAUCCAGUGGUAUCAUUUCAUCAUUUCACUCCGCCUAACCCGAACCAGUAGUUGUGGUCUUGGUUUUACGUUGAAGACCAAGUCCUUGACGUGCAUGAGGCUCUGCGUGACUUGGUCUCUUGCACCUUCUUCACACUCAUCUUCACACUCCCCUUGGCUCGGCUACAGACUUUAACUUUACAAACAUACAUUUGCACGUGCUGUUACUUUUGUAAAGAUUUUCCUUUUGAUCUAGUUAAUUCCUAUUCUUAAGCGUCCCCAUCUACCAUAAAUUGCCCCCGACGCUAAUCACAAUUGUGGCCUUAAAAGCUAAUUAUGAGAAUCUUUGAUUGAUACCUGUGUUUCCUUUAGUCUAAAGUAAACUCCAUGAUGGAAGGGAUCACACCUUUCUUCACUGUAUCUCCCGUGCCUCACACUUGGCCUGAAAUGAAUUAAGCCUGUGAUAAAUGUUUGUUGGAUGAAGAAAACACAAAUAAGUGUAUAAUCCAAACCAGAAGAGGUGGUAUGUAAGAAAGGGAAUACAGUGCUAGUGGAGUGUGUAAUCUCAGGCCUGAUCUGGUGUGUAGAGACAGGCUAGGAUCUGAAGGGUGAACUGGUGUUAUCUAGAGAGGCCAGGCUGCUAGAGAGUUCUGCACCAGAGAACAUCAGGUACAAAAGUUCUAAGGUUGGAGAAGAGUGGUUCAUGCAGAGGAAACAGCAGGUACAAAGGUCCUGAGCUAGCAUAGUAGAGAAACUGAAGGGAGACCACCGUGGCUAAAUUAAGAGAAAGGAGGAGAUGGUAUAAGAUGAGGCUAGCAGGAAAUUGCAGUAUGCAGUGAGUUUCUUUUAGAAAGAUGCUGGCUUUUUGGUAGAACAUGACUGCUUGACAAGAAUUCAGUGUCUCUAGGGGAUGAUAUAAUUAAAGUAAUAACCUGAACAUCUUAGUAUGUUGAAGUGGCCUUUUCAUGGUCCUUUGCUAGUUGGUUUCGGGCUUUCACUGGAUCCUAGAAUGGAGUGAUGAACAAAAAAUAUGCUUGCCACAAGGUCCAAGAAAGAGAAACCUUACUCUGAGAUUCUUUUUCUGGAUUUUUUGGGCUACAUUUACCUAUUCUUAAUAUUAGCCUUAGAAUUGCUUUAUUAAGUUCUUAAAAAAUUCGAUUGGGAUUACAGUGGGAAGCAUUUUGUUGUAGUUAUUAAAAGCAUGGACUUUAGAAUUUGGCCUAUCUGGUUUGGGAUCCAGGUUCAUCCUUCCACUGACCGAGUGACCUUGGUAGAGAAAACUAUUUUCUUAGACUCUUUUUUUCUUAUUUGAGAAAAAGAAAAAGUUCAAAGGAUUAUUGUGGAGACUGAAUGAGAAGGUGUGUAUUUUUCAUCCAAAAACAUAUUUCUAUUUUUUUCUGAUUUUUAAAAUUUUUUUAAUAUUUUUAAGAAAAAUAGAUUUUUUAUUGCUCAGUCAUUUCAGAUUCGUCUGACUUACAAACUAAUAACAUAAUGUUCAAAUACAAUUUAAUGUUUUUUUCUGAUUUUUUAAAGUAUAGUUGAUUUAUAAUGUUUUCUUCAUUUUCUGUUGUACAGCAAAGUGACCUAAUCACACUCGGUUCCCUUUGCUCUAUGUAGGAGCGCAUUCAUUGCCCAUCCAUUCCAAAUGUUACAGUUUCUAUCCACCAACCCCAAACUCCCCGUCCAUCCCACUUCCUCCCACUGUGGGUAUUUUUUUUUAAUUUUUAUAUUUCUCAAUACAUUUUUUUUAAAUAAAGGUCUAGGUUUCCUGUUGUUAUGGCUUGCUUUGAGUUUUCUGGUGUCUUUUGCUUGUUUUGCUCUUUGCGUAUUCAUGUUUCCCUGUCUUCAUGUCUUAGGACAGGCAGUGUUGAAUGAUGCUGGUGAGUACAGGGUGCCCAAGGGCAGGUUACAUACCUUUCAAAUUAACGGUUUCCUCAGAAUUCAAACCUUGAGGAAUAGUGUGGAGUAAAAGAGGAGAUAUUUAUAUACCAUUUACUGAAGGACAUUUAGUAAGUGAUUGCAGCUGCUGUUAUUGGCAGGUUAUUUUAAAGGAGAGCCUUUGGGGAGUUCCCACUGUGGCUCAGCGGUAAGGAACCUGACUAGUAUCCAUGAGGAUGUGGGUUCGAUCCCUGGCCUUGCUCAGUGGGUUAAGGAUCUGGUGCACUGCCCCAAGCUGCGGUGUAUGUUGCAAAUGUGGCUCAGAUCCACUGUUACUGUGGCUGUGGUGUAGGCUGGCAGCUGUAGUUCCGAUUCGAUGCCUAGCCUGGGAACUUCCAUAUGCCAAGGGUGCGGACCUAAGUGGACCUUAAAAAAAAAAAA
This 3250-nucleotide long non-coding RNA is filed under the name Sus scrofa (pig). RNAcentral's name for it is "lncRNA (ENSSSCG00060041355.1)". Lineage: Eukaryota; Metazoa; Chordata; Mammalia; Artiodactyla; Suidae. The record is from RNAcentral.